UGGGGAAUAUUGGACAAUGGGCGCAAGCCUGAUCCAGCCAUGCCGCGUGAGUGAUGAAGGCCUUCGGGUUGUAAAGCUCUUUUAGCGGGGACGAUGAUGACGGUACCCGCAGAAUAAGCCCCGGCUAACUUCGUGCCAGCAGCCGCGGUAAGACGAAGGGGGCAAGCGUUGUUCGGAAUUACUGGGCGUAAAGGGCGCGUAGGCGGUCUUGUUAGUCAGGCGUGAAAGCCCUGGGCUUAACCUAGGAUGUGCGCUUGAUACUGCGAGGCUUGAGUGUGGGAGAGGUUGGUGGAAUUCCCAGUGUAGAGGUGAAAUUCGUAGAUAUUGGGAAGAACACCGGUGGCGAAGGCGGCCAACUGGACCACAACUGACGCUGAGGCGCGAAAGCGUGGGGAGCAAACAG
This 403-nucleotide ribosomal RNA is filed under the name uncultured bacterium. Its description in RNAcentral is "bacterial SSU rRNA". It matches the Rfam family "Bacterial small subunit ribosomal RNA", at positions 355 to 775 of the family's 1533-position model. The record is from RNAcentral.